RNAcentral lists this ribosomal RNA (253 nucleotides) under uncultured bacterium. RNAcentral's name for it is "partial 16S ribosomal RNA". It matches the Rfam family "Bacterial small subunit ribosomal RNA", at positions 524 to 776 of the family's 1533-position model. The record is from RNAcentral.
UACGUAGGGUGCGAGCGUUAAUCGGAAUUACUGGGCGUAAAGCGUGCGCAGGCGGUUUUGUAAGCCAGAUGUGAAAUCCCCGGGCUCAACCUGGGAACUGCGUCUGAUACUGGAUGGCUUGAAUCCGGGAGAGGGAUGCAGAAUUCCAGGUGUAGCGGUGAAAUGCGUAGAUAUCUGGAGGAAUACCGGUGGCGAAGGCGGCAUCCUGGACCGGCAUUGACGCUGAGGUGCGAAAGCGUGGGGAGCAAACAGG